AGAGAGAGAAAAAAACAUCAAUGGGUAGUUCUUUGACGGGAAAGUAAAAAGGGAAAAGAAAGUGUGUUUCUCUGAUUUGUUCGUUUCUUGCCGGUUAUCCUUGUACUCUUUGUUUUGGUUU
This 121-nucleotide non-coding RNA is filed under the name Climacostomum virens. Lineage: Eukaryota; Ciliophora; Heterotrichea; Heterotrichida; Climacostomidae. The record is from RNAcentral.